CAGCUUGGCUCGAGAGGCCUCGGCAAUCUUGAAAGCCGGUCGUGCUGGGGAUACAUCAUUGUAAUUUCUGGUCUUCAACGAGGAAUUUUUAGUAGGCGUGGUAGCAGAGCAUCUCAUCACAUCAUCAU
This 128-nucleotide ribosomal RNA is filed under the name Partenskyella glossopodia. RNAcentral's name for it is "partial Eukaryotic small subunit ribosomal RNA". The record is from RNAcentral. Lineage: Eukaryota; Cercozoa; Chlorarachniophyceae.